GCGUCGGUUUACACCC
Molecule: ribosomal RNA, 16 nt
Filed under: Desmodesmus abundans
Lineage: Eukaryota; Viridiplantae; Chlorophyta; Chlorophyceae; Sphaeropleales; Scenedesmaceae
Also listed under: 13 other names
Description: partial 5.8S ribosomal RNA
Source: RNAcentral